CUUACUUACCUGUAGUCCCUGCAAUGAAUUGCAUAUAUUAAUAGGGCUUCCAGUAUCCAAUACCCAGAGAGUAGUAUCACAAAUAGAAAAAUUAUAAAGUGUUAUCAUAUAAGUACCUUGUGAAGCAACCACUAAAUUCACUGGCUCCUUCUAGAGCUGGUGAUCUUUCUCAAAAGUCUGCAGUAACCCAAGCAAACUAUGAUAGUUUACCACA
RNAcentral lists this long non-coding RNA (214 nucleotides) under Elaeis guineensis (African oil palm). RNAcentral describes it as "long non-coding RNA (EGUI_LNC058744)". The record is from RNAcentral. Lineage: Eukaryota; Viridiplantae; Streptophyta; Magnoliopsida; Arecales; Arecaceae.